RNAcentral lists this ribosomal RNA (697 nucleotides) under uncultured Snodgrassella sp. Its description in RNAcentral is "bacterial SSU rRNA". It matches the Rfam family "Bacterial small subunit ribosomal RNA", at positions 662 to 1357 of the family's 1533-position model. The record is from RNAcentral. Lineage: Bacteria; Pseudomonadati; Pseudomonadota; Betaproteobacteria; Neisseriales; Neisseriaceae.
UAGAAUUCCACGUGUAGCAGUGAAAUGCGUAGAGAUGUGGAGGAAUACCGAUGGCGAAGGCAGCCUCCUGGGAUAACACUGACGUUCAUGCUCGAAAGCGUGGGUAGCAAACAGGAUUAGAUACCCUGGUAGUCCACGCCCUAAACGAUGACAAUUAGCUGUUGGGACACUAGAUGUUUUAGUAGCGAAGCUAACGCGUGAAAUUGUCCGCCUGGGGAGUACGGUCGCAAGAUUAAAACUCAAAGGAAUUGACGGGGAACCCGCCCCAAGCGGUGGGAUGAUGUGGAUUAAUUCGAUGCAACGCGAAGAACCUUACCUGGUCUUGACAUGUACGGAAUCUCUUAGAGAUAGGAGAGUGCCUUCGGGAGCCGUAACACAGGUGCUGCAUGGCUGUCGUCAGCUCGUGUCGUGAGAUGUUGGGUUAAGUCCCGCAACGAGCGCAACCCUUGUCAUUAGUUGCCAUCAUUAAGUUGGGCACUCUAAUGAGACUGCCGGUGACAAGCCGGAGGAAGGUGGGGAUGACGUCAAGUCCUCAUGGCCCUUAUGACCAGGGCUUCACACGUCAUACAAUGGUCGGUACAGAGGGUAGCGAAGCCGCGAGGUGAAGCCAAUCUCAGAAAGCCGAUCGUAGUCCGGAUUGCACUCUGCAACUCGAGUGCAUGAAGUCGGAAUCGCUAGUAAUCGCAGGUCAGCAUAG